Molecule: ribosomal RNA, 433 nt
Filed under: uncultured bacterium
Lineage: Bacteria
Description: partial 16S ribosomal RNA
Rfam family: Bacterial small subunit ribosomal RNA
Source: RNAcentral
AACGAACGCUGGCGGCAUGCCUAACACAUGCAAGUCGAACGAGACCUUCGGGUCUAGUGGCGCACGGGUGCGUAACGCGUGGGAACCUGCCCUUAGGUUCGGAAUAACUCCCCGAAAGGGGUGCUAAUACCGGAUAAUGUCCUCGGACCAAAGAUUUAUCGCCUUUGGCGGGGCCCGCGUUGGAUUAGCUAGUUGGUAGGGUAAAAGCCUACCAAGGCGACGAUCCAUAGCUGGUCAGAGAGGAUGAUCAGCCACUCUGGGACGAGGACACGGCACAGACUCUUGCGGGAUGCGGCAGUGCUUGAUAUUGGACCAUCGGCUGAGGCCUGAACCAAUAAUGGCGCGUAAGUUAUGGAGGCCUUAGGGUAGUAAAGCUCUUUUAACCGGGAUGGUAAUGACGGUACCGAAAGAAUAAGCGCCGGCUAACUCCGUG